RNAcentral lists this ribosomal RNA (275 nucleotides) under uncultured bacterium. RNAcentral's name for it is "partial 16S ribosomal RNA". It matches the Rfam family "Bacterial small subunit ribosomal RNA", at positions 338 to 604 of the family's 1533-position model. The record is from RNAcentral.
CCUACGGGUGGCUGCAGUAGGGAAUAUUGCACAAUGGGGGAAACCCUGAUGCAGCAACGCCGCGUGAGUGAAGAAGGCCCUUGGGUUGUAAAGCUCUUUAGCCUGGAAAGAGGCCUUUGCGAGUAAACAAUUCGCAGAGGUGACGGUACCAGGAGAAUAAGCACCGGCUAAUUUCGUGCCAGCAGCCGCGGUAAUACGAAAGGUGCAAGCGUUACUCGGAAUUACUGGGCGUAAAGCGCGCGUAGGCGGUCUUGUAUGUCGAUUGUGAAAGCCCC